This 407-nucleotide ribosomal RNA is filed under the name uncultured bacterium. RNAcentral describes it as "partial 16S ribosomal RNA". It matches the Rfam family "Bacterial small subunit ribosomal RNA", at positions 29 to 526 of the family's 1533-position model. The record is from RNAcentral.
AGCGAACGCUGGCGGCAGGCUUAACACAUGCAAGUCGAGGGGAGCGGCAGACGGGUGAGUCACGCGUGGGAACGUACCUUUUGGUUCGGAACAACACAGGGAAACUUUUGCUAAUACCGGAUACCGAAAGAUCGGACCGCGUCUGAUUAGUUAGUUGGUGAGGGAAUGGCUCCCCAAGGCGACGAUCAGUAGCUGGUCUGAGAGGAUGAUCCGCCACAUUGGGACUGAGACACGGCCCAAACUCCUACGGGAGGCAGAAGUGGGGAAUAUUGGACAAUGGGGGCAACCCUGAUCCAGCCAUGCCGGGGGAGUGAUGAAGGCCCUAGGGUUGUAAAGCUCUUUUGUGCGGGAAGCGGUACCGCAAGAAUAAGCCCCGGCUAACUUCGUGCCAGCAGCCGCGGUAAUAC